This 478-nucleotide ribosomal RNA is filed under the name uncultured bacterium. RNAcentral's name for it is "partial 16S ribosomal RNA". It matches the Rfam family "Bacterial small subunit ribosomal RNA", at positions 28 to 507 of the family's 1533-position model. The record is from RNAcentral.
GAUGAACGCUGGCGGCGUGCUUAACACAUGCAAGUCGAACGGGAAAUAUUUCAUUGAGCCUUCGGUGGAUUUGAUUUAUUUCUAGUGGCGGACGGGUGAGUAACGCGUGGGUAACCUGCCUUAUACAGGGGGAUAACAGUCAGAAAUGGCUGCUAAUACCGCAUAAGCGCACAGAGCUGCAUGGCUCAGUGUGAAAAACUCCGGUGGUAUAAGAUGGACCCGCGUUGGAUUAGCUAGUUGGUGGGGUAACGGCCCACCAAGGGGACGAUCCAUAGCCGGCCUGAGAGGGUGAACGGCCACAUUGGGACUGAGACACGGCCCAGACUCCUACGGGAGGCAGCAGUGGGGAAUAUUGCAAAAUGGGGGAAACCCUGAUGCAGCGACGCCGCGUGAAGGAAGAAGUAUCUCGGUAUGUAAACUUCUAUCAGCAGGGAAGGUAGUGACGGUACCUGACUAAGAAGCCCCGGCUAACUACGUG